RNAcentral lists this ribosomal RNA (253 nucleotides) under uncultured bacterium. RNAcentral's name for it is "partial 16S ribosomal RNA". It matches the Rfam family "Bacterial small subunit ribosomal RNA", at positions 524 to 776 of the family's 1533-position model. The record is from RNAcentral.
UACGUAGGUGGCAAGCGUUGUCCGGAUUUAUUGGGUUUAAAGGGUGCGUAGGCGGCCUUAUAAGUCAGUGCUGAAAUAUCCCGGCUUAGCCGGGGGGGUGGCAUUGAUACUGUAGGGCUUGAGUGUAGUCGAGGUAGGCGGAAUUGACGGUGUAGCGGUGAAAUGCUUAGAUAUCGUCAAGAACACCGAUAGUGUAGACAGCUUACUAGGCUACAACUGACGCUGAGGCACGAAAGUGUGGGGAUCAAACAGG